Molecule: ribosomal RNA, 253 nt
Filed under: uncultured bacterium
Lineage: Bacteria
Description: partial 16S ribosomal RNA
Rfam family: Bacterial small subunit ribosomal RNA
Source: RNAcentral
UACGGGGGGUGCAAGCGUUGUUCGGAAUUAUUGGGCGUAAAGAGCGUGUAGGCGGCUUGAUAAGUCAGAUGUGAAAGCCCUGGGCUUAACCCAGGAAGUGCAUUUGAAACUGUCUUGCUUGAGUAAGGGAGGGGGAAGUGGAAUUCCUGGUGUAGAGGUGAAAUUCGUAGAUAUCAGGAGGAACACCGGUGGCGAAGGCGACUUCCUGGCCCUAUACUGACGCUGAGACGCGAGAGCGUGGGUAGCAAACAGG